This is a long non-coding RNA of Sesamum indicum (sesame), 2471 nucleotides long. RefSeq lists it as uncharacterized. NCBI's taxonomy places the organism in Eukaryota, Viridiplantae, Streptophyta, Magnoliopsida, Lamiales, Pedaliaceae. The record is from RefSeq and is a predicted model, not a curated record.
AGCCUGCCAAGAGAAGAUAAGCAAUCAGGACUUGUCUGAUAAUUGACCUGUCAGGGAAUCAGCUCACGACUAUGUAAGUUGCACAACCGUUUGGGGUGGUCGUUUAUUGCAUUGUAAGUUGCUCAACUAGUUAUGUAUUAUUGACGGGUGGCCGUUUAUUGCAUUGUAUCAUUAAUCAACUUGAGCAACUGUGCUAUGAGUAGAAUAUCUGCGGACCACAUACAAAUUUUUGUGUUCUCAGUUCUUGAUCUUCUCUCUUGUUUUUGCAUACUUUACUUGUUCAUUGGUAAGUUGAUAGGAAGGUAUGAUCUUUAUCUGAUUAACGAUCACCAGUAUCAGGAUGGAUUAUAUACCUGGUGGAAAACAUCGAUUGUAAGAAAGUUAAAAACUUUGUGAUUAGUUCUUAGUUUGAAGGAUGAAUGGGGGAAGAGAGGCUCUGUGCUAGAGGCCCCCUUACCGGUCUCUAUCAUGAGUUCCUAGUUGGAAGCACGAAUGGGGGAAGCGUUGUGCUACAGGACUCCAUCCAAAUUUGCAGACCAUAUACAAAUUUGUGUAAACUCUCUCUUCUUGAUUAUCUCUCGUGUUUCUGCAUAUGUUACUUGUUCAUUUCUCGGGUAGGUUGACAGGAAGGUAUGAUCUUCAUCUGAUUAAUGGCCAUGAGUAUCUGGAAAGACUAUAUACCUGGUGUGAAAACAUUGGUGAUACCAUUUAAGAAAGUCACAAGCUUUGUUAUGAGUUCCUAGUUUGAAGGCACGAACGGGGGAAGCACUGUGCUGGAUGACCCAUUACCAGUGUCUAUGAUGAGUUCCGAGUUGGAAGCACAAAUGGGGGAAGCAUUCUGCUACAGAACACAUACCAAUUUGCAGACCACAUGCAAAUUUUAGUACCUGGUGGGAAAACAUUUGUGGAACACUAUUUAGGGAAGUUAAGAGUUAUGUGAUGAAGGCAUGAAUGAAGGAAGCGCUGUGCUAGAGGACCCCUUACCAGUCUCUCUAUGAUGAGUUCCUAGUUGGAAGGCAUGAAACAGGAAGCAUUGUGCUACAGGACCCCUAGUUGGAGUUCUGGAACAAUAAAAUGCAGCGCUAUGGUACCGCCCCAACCCAGCCACAACGCGACCAAAAGAAAAAGAGCAGGAAUCCUGAUGAUCAUAGAUGGCAUAUUGCAUCCAUAUCAUGUGGUUCCAACAGGUGAUGAUCAUUGGCUACUCUAAUGGAAUACUGGUUUAAUUAUCAGAAGCAAGCAAAAGAAUGAUGCAUAUGGUGGACGCAAGGUGCCUCAUCAACAGUAAAAUUGAGCACAGUCCAAGAACUAACAGACAAGGCAAAGACCUGCAGCCUCCUUACUAGGAGCUUUAGCUACAAAGUGCCAAAAGAUAGAUGGAUGAAACACGACUAUAUGUAAGUGUUUUCUAACUUUUAGAUGUUUCCAUACUUCCGAAACCAGUAUUUCACUGUGUUGCUUAAGAAGACACUCCAGCAUUCAGGGACUAGGGACUCGGAGGAGGAAUGGUACACUUAAUUUUUCUUUUUCCCCCGUUCACAGGCGGAAUGUUUUGUCUCAUGAAUCCGCUGCAAGGGGGUUUCUCCUACAUGUGCAUGACUUAUCUACAUAAGUGUGUGUGCUUUACAGAUUUAUAUUUUCAGUAUUCCUUGGGGCAAUAAGAGGGUACAGUAAUACGUUAAAAGAAGAAAUAUAAACAAAAAACUGGCCCUUUCUCUUAAAGAAUAUAUGCGUGCAAAGAUUCUUCUCAUACAUUGCUGUAAUCAAUCAAGACAUAGCAUAACAAACAUCCAGCUCCUUGAAAAUGCAUAGAGGGACUUAAAAAACAGAAGAUACGUUGCAAUAAGGAAUUCACGAAAACCUAGCAAGAAAAGGCAAAUGGGAAAAUGAUGGGAUUAUUUACGUACAGAUAGCUAAGGCUCCUUGUUAGUUAAAGAAAAUGAACCAGAGCAAGCUAACUUGGGAAACUGAGUCUAGCACAGAAACUGAACAGAAUGCACAUUGUGCUCUGACCCUGUUUUCCAUUAAAAUAGGGAAGAGGGAUGCAGUAAGAUUUCGAAAAGGACAUUUUUUUAUUUUAACCUGUCAGAUUCUUUCUAGUCCACAGAUUGUUUCCCAGAUCAUACGUCACAAGAACAUAUCAAAUAUCAUGAAAGUCAACAACCACCAUGGGCUCUACACAUACUUUGAUGAGAAGUAGAGACAAUUUAUUUAGGCUACCCACUAGACUAUAAAGUUUCAGCUGCAUUGCAGCACUGCCCAUGUAAAAACAUGACUUCACAGGAGAAUAUAGCAGUUGUUACUAUUCCCAACAUCUAGGAUCUUAACUCCAUCUAAGGCUUAUAGCGAGUGUCUAACGAUUGUUGAAUCUAAUUAUAACACAUGAAAUGGUAUAAUCCUAACCAACAAUGUGAUUUUAGUCGAUUAAUAUAAGUUUUUUUUUAUCUCGUCUUCUGUGCAUUUUAGACAUU